RNAcentral lists this ribosomal RNA (440 nucleotides) under uncultured bacterium. RNAcentral's name for it is "partial 16S ribosomal RNA". It matches the Rfam family "Bacterial small subunit ribosomal RNA", at positions 338 to 795 of the family's 1533-position model. The record is from RNAcentral.
CCUACGGGAGGCAGCAGUGGGGAAUAUUGCACAAUGGGGGAAACCCUGAUGCAGCGACGCCGCGUGAGUGAAGAAGUAUUUCUGUAUUUAAAGCCCUAUCAGCAGGGAAGAAAAUGACGGUACCUGAUUAAGAAGCCCCGGCUAACUACGUGCCAGCAGCCGCGGUAAUACGUAGGGGGCAAGCGUUAUUCGGAUUUACUGGGUGUAAAGGGAGCGUAGACGGCAGCACAAGUCUGGUGGGAAAUGCCGGGGCUUAACCCCGGAGCUGCUUUGGAAACUGGGCAGCUUGAGUGGAGGAGAGGUAAGUGGAAGUCCUAGUGUAGCGGUGAAAUGCGUAGAUAUUAGGAGGAACACCAGUGGCGAAGGCGGCUUACUGGACUGUAACUGACGUUGAGGCACGAAAGCGUGGGGAGCGAACAGGAUUAGAUACCCCAGUAGUC